AGAUUGUUGUAUCCUCAAACUACUAAACUUCAUUUUACACUGAGUGUCACCACGGAACUUGCUUUCUUCCACUGGGACUCUGAAGAGAGAAAGGAAUUUGCCUGUUAUUUAUAAAUAUUUACAAAUACUUAGAAAUUACAUUACCUGCAAGACCUAAACUUUUGCAUGAGGCGUAUAGGUGAUCUAAUACUAAUGAGAAUUCCUUGUGUUCUGCAUUUUUAUAUGAAAUUCUGCUUUAAUAACUGUACAUAUCUAUGACACCAAUAUGCAGUUGACACUUGGCUCUAGUCCCCUACAUAUUAUUUAUUCAGCAUCAUUAGCAUCAAAACAACCUUCUGUGAAUGUUUCUGUUGCAAAUGUGCAACCUGAGGGUUAAAUUUGCAUAAAGACACGUGUAGGAGUGAUGGAAAAGAACAUAAACUACUACAGUGCUUUGCCUUUUAUAUAUUCUUGGGAUGGAUUAGUACAAAGGCUGACCCCUUAGGCUUGCCUUAUCUCACUCUGUGAAUUUGGAUUAUCAAGAAUAAAUGGGAACAGAAUUCUCAUAAUGUGUAUGAUGAGACAAUGUUUUAUUUAGGGCUCAAAAUAAUGUAUUACUCAUACAAAUCCUCUCUUCUGGGAAACGUGCUGGGUAUUUUCUGUAUGUACCAGAGGUCACAUCUCUCCUGACUGCAUGUUAAGGGAUGAUGCAAGAGUUCUGGACAUUAUUUUUUUCCUGGUAAUACCCUACCUGCUUGGUAAGGAAAAAGAUGCAGAAAUAUGUUGGCAGAGGGUUGUUUUGUUCUUCUUGCCUCACAGUGUGAUAGACUGAUACUGAAACCAUUGGAUAUUUUGAUGUGGCUUGUGAGCUAACUUUUGAAGUGGUUGAUGUGUGCAUGCUAAGUCAUCAAUUAAGAGUAAUUAAGUAUGUACUUGAAUUUAGUAGAAGUGCUGAACAUUUGAUGUGGAAUUAGGUAUUUUGAUGGAUGGAGGUUUUUCUGAACAAAAUUAAUUCAGAGUCAUGAGCAGCGAUAUUUAUGCAACACUUGAUUUUUUCAUUAGUCUUUUCACUGAUGUUUAGCUAAUGUCUCUGACAGGCCUUUUUCAAUGACUCAAUUCUAUGCUUUAUAAGCUGUUGCUUCUGAGGAGUCAGUGGAAUUCCUCCUGUGUUUAGCAUUUAAGGCCUUCUGGCUCAGGGCUGGAUGAACACUUGAGGCACUUGCACUGUUUAAUUGAGCCCUGUGUUAGAUUUGUGGAGCUGCUUCCAAUUGCUGAAGAAUCAAAUGAAGAUUUAAUUGUAGCUGAAACCUGAGCUCUUCUGUGAGUCGCCUCAGCAGAAAGGAAAAUAAUUUAUCUGUGUUGUGUCACAACUGUAUGCGUGCACCAUAUGGCUUGAUGGUAUAUUCAGGGAAGCUGUGUGGUGAUUUCUAAAAUAUUUCCUUUUCUUUCCUCAAACCUUGAAUAUUGAUUAUUUUUCUAAAUGUGUUCUAAAGCAGUGGACAUUGAACAUCCCCAAAGGGCUUCAUUUUAGCUGUGAUCCAGUGGGGGCUGUCUCAGUUUGUGACUAGAAAUCAGCAGAAAAGCACAUACCAGUGCUUGUUGUCCUUUCCCCUUCCCUGCUUCCCUUUCAGAAUCUGUCUUUCACAUAAUCUUUUCUUAUUGAACCUGUUAAAUGUUUGCAUCAACAUGAAAUGAAGAGAAAUGAAUGUUUGUUUAUUGGCAGACACCACAUCUUGACAAUGAAUUGGGACAGUAACCAGCACUGGAUAAAAAGGGAAUGUGAAUCCAGUGCUUCCAUGAGGUAUUUCUUUCAGCCUUAUUAUAGCUCCUGUUUUUGUACUGGACUGGCCAGUGUAACACUAUAUUGCAAUGAGCCUUUUGUAGUCUGUUCUAACUGGCAGCAGUAUUUUAAAUGGCCUGGAAGCUCCUUUUGCAAAGAGAAUUAUCUGUCCCACUAUCACUUCACAGGGAACUGUUGUUGGGAAUACUGAGAUCUGGUAUCAGCUUUGUUAACUACGUGGGGGUAAAGAAUUAUGCUUUUGGAAAAACUCAUCUGUAACAUAUUCAGCAUAUCAGACAGGAUCUUAAAUACUUUUUUUUUUCCCUCCCAUAUACCUUCUACUAAUCAGUUGUAGAAUACUUGCAAAUUCACAGCAGUUUUUUCCUUUGGUGAUUACUUCAAUACUUCUGAAUAUUGGAUUUUUUUGGGGGUGACACUGCUGGCUUAUUGCUCUUUUUGUAACCUAUCUCUCAGUGUGGGUAACUGCUUGUAAACUAAAUAUUUAACAUGUUGCUGUAAUGAGUUAUUUCCACUGCUUCAGGCACAUAAUUAAACCUGGGUGUCCAUUUUCAGCAUCUCAGCUUUAUGCCUAUUUACAGCUAUCUUUGUUCUUCUUAAAAACUGCCAAUGAAGUAGUAGCCCUAAAACAUAUUGUUCAACUGUGACACAGUAAGUAUUCUUCAUUUAUAUUGUUGUCUCCUGUUUCAUGCCUAAUUUGCAAUUUUUAACCCUUUUUCCCCCCAAGUACAUGCUGAUGUCUUUAAUUGGCAUUUGUUUCUUUUUGUUUGAAAAUCACUGAGUGUUGUUCAUCCUUUCUUCUGUUCCCCCUGAAUUUGUAAGCACUGUUUUCACAAUGGAAUUCAUGUGGAUGCAGCCAAACUGUUCUCUAUUUUUUUUCCAAUAUUAUUCUUUCCUACCUGUGCCACAUCAGUGAAGGUUCUCACCUCAUUCCACCAGCAUUUUUCAUUAGCUGUUGAGUGUUCUCCCUGUGUCAGAGGAAUGGGACACCUGCUGCCCAAGAGACACUGUGAAAGGCAGGUUACCAUUUACAGCCUGUAGUCCUGUGUUAUAACAAACAUUUCACUGUGCUGCAGAAAAAGAGAGGAACUGAAAACCUUGUAUGCAAAACCUAAAGGUAGUUUCCCUCUUUAUAAAAAGACAAAGCUGAGCUUUUUAAUGAUUAAGAGUCUUGGGGGAUUUUUUGUUUUUUCUACCCUCAUGGUUUAUUUAUGGAUCUGCUAUUUGCAUCUUUGUUUAUACUGUUUGGAAAGGAGACGGUUUUUUAAUUUUUUACAUCCACUUCGUGCUUUUGUGGCCAUCUCUGUGUAAAACCAAAUAAAGCAGUAGGUCAGUGUUCUUUCUGUCAUGUAUUAUAUAAACUCCCCAUUCACAUUAAAGGGUUCCUGUGCAUUUAUUUUAAUUGAAAUGACUUAUCAUUGACACUUCCUUUACUUUAGACAUCUUGUUUGGAAUGAUUGCUUUAGGAAAUUGGUGGGAGAGUGGUUAUUCUUGCUAAAGUUAAAUAUUUGUUAGAACCAAAUAUUCUAAUUUGUUUCUGCAAGAAUUUAAAAUUUAUUUGAAAUCAAAUGGGUAUUUUAAAUUUGCAGUAAUGUGAAGGAGUGGGCCUGAAACUUUGAUGGCAGGAAAGGACAAUUCACUUUUAUAUCAUGUACCAUGGUUCAAAAGGACAGUGUGAUAACCAAAAACCUCUAAGCUACAACUGUCCUGGUGGAAUAUGGUACAAGAAUGCUCUAGCAGGAAGGAAAUUACAGCUUAUAAAGUGCAGCAUCUCUGGUUAUGAAAUAAAGCCUCACUUCCCAAAUCCACUGCUAGUAAGGGGAAAUUUGUGAUAGAUCAAGCUCUUUAUGUGGGAUUCUUUUCCCAGUGAGGGCUUUGCUCUGUCCCAGUGUUCCAAUGAUCUCUUGUCUCAGUAAAAAGAUAAUGCAUAAGCAGGAUUAUUUGAUAUUCCAUCAAAACAUCCUGCAAAAUAUCCCCUGUGGGAAGACACCAGAGUGGUAAAAUAAUGCCUGUAGGCAGAUGAGGAGAGUGGGGGCACGAGAUGGAUGUGAUGGGAAAUUCAGGCUUUUUCUCAAAAUUCAGAAGGGCCCUUGGGAAAUGUUCACAGAGUGGCAGAAAAUGCAUUUGGGGGAAGGCUAAAAGCUUAGAUGAUACAAUCUGUAUAUUUGUCCCUUACUCUGAAUGAUCAGAGUGAUUCUUGUACAAGGAUCUUCUAAUAAACAUUUUCUCCACCUCUCAGGUUGUUCAGGAAGGUUAAUACAUGUAUAACUGUACAGAGAACAGAGCACACCCAGAGAUAUCUGUUCCUUCUGUGUGUUUUCUCCUUUCCUUGGAAGGGCCCCGUGUGUUUGCCCUGCCAGGAGGUUCUGCAGCUGCUCAAAGUGCAGUUUCAUAAUCAGCUUAACGUGGCCUGAGAGUGAGCUGGCAGCAGAAUGGCAAAUCCUGUGCUCCCGGAUACUUUGGGAUGUGUUCCCAUUCCUCCUCCAGUGACGGCUGGAGCACUUGUGUGGCUGUGCUGUGUGUCACACUGCUCUGCUGAGUCAACUAAACAAUUUUUUGGGAAAAAAAAUCUCACCAGAGAAAAUUCACCCAUUCACUUGAUGAAUAAUCUGCUCUGAGAUGACUCAUGGGUGUCCAUGUGUCAAGGGUGAUGUUGAGAGACACGGGAAUAAUAUAUAAUAGAAUUUGAGAAGGUGUCUCAUCUCUUGGUUAUUUAUCAGUUCUGCUUAUUGUUAUAAAUCAUGACAAUUCCAGUAAAUUGGGUUCUUCAAGAGAGCUGGUUGGGGGGAACAUUAAAUUUUAUGAUGCCAUUUGCAUACUGGGAUAAAUCCAAAAUGAUUAACAUUACAGUCAAUAAAAUGUAGUAUGUAUGAACUGAAGGAUCUCUACCUUUGCAAGUAUUCAACAGUUGUGUCAAGGAACAGAUAUCUGAAUUUCUCAGUAAGUACAAAAGAAACUGAUGCCUAGUGUGUCUGUACCACUCUAUAUAUUGCUGUUUGGUGUUUCCCGUCCAUUACAGUUUGGCAUUUCUGGGUAUAAACUGAAAUGUUAACAUGUGAUCAAUUUACACCAAUUAAUAAUUUAUCUUCAGGAGUCCUUGUACUCAGUGAACUAGAAGUUCUAACAGGAAAGGUUUCAAGGUUUCCUAUAGAGGUGUUGCCAAAUAAUGGUGGUUUAGCUGAAAACCAGUUUAAUCUAGAUGUCCUCUUCCCUGUUUAAAAAGGUUCACUUGAGUCAAAAAGAAGUUGAAUGCUGUCCUUUAACCAUUAACAGGUCCAAGGCUGGGGUAUGUUUGUGAUAGGACACAAUAAAGUGUUUUCCCAGGAGCAGUUGCAAGAGGUGUUUGAUGGUGAGCAAACAGUGUGACAUUAACAGCAAGUGCCUGCACUGAGGAGCGUCAGCCUGGCCUGGCAGCACCACAAGUCCUGUGGCUACGUGAAUUCUGCCCAGGCUACAGAACCACUCUGCUUUCACCUCUUUAUGGAAAGAGUAUUUUGGUUUUUAGUUGCUGGUAUGCCCUUUAAUACAAGGCAAGACCUAAAAGCUCUUUAUUCCAUCUUUCCUUCCUUGCCUGCAGAUUGGAGGCUGUAAGAACAGACUUUAAGGCAGUGCUUAGAUGGGGUUGGUCUUGUUCCUUUCUGCCUUAAUAACCUGUCAAAACUACUAGGAAUUCACCACAGUCUUUUGCUUUAAUGACCUCCUGCAGUUGAUUUUCUUUUCCAUAUAUUUUCUCUCACCAGUCAAAAAAAUUCACCAGUAUACUUACUUUUCUGUUUGAUAAACAUACAGGCCUCCUGUGUAUAGGAAAUGAUUUUAAUUACCUUGUCUAUGUGUAAAAAAUACUGUCUGUCCUGGAAAUCCUUUGGAGUUAGAUAUACAGUACAGGGUUCUUCUUUAUGCUGUGUUUAUAACUUUAUAACUCCCUCAGACUGUAUGCAGCAAUUAAAGUUCUUGAUAGUUAUAAUGUCUGUUUAUCCACAUCUGUGGUAAGUUGUGCAAGCUCUUAUCUGCUAACAACACAGAUGUGUCUUCAUUCAUGUAAAGUUACCUUUCUCAUUAUUUACAGCCUUAUUUCUGAAGCCAUGACUUCCUUUAUUUCUAUAUUUUACUGUGGUUCAAAGCACCACUUAUGCUUUCUAAAAAAGCCACCACAUGACACACUCCAGUCCUAUUCUAAUCUUUUUUCUUGUAGGGUCAGUGAUUCUCAGUCAGUGUGAGAUGCUGAAAUGCUGGAGCAUGAAAUUCCCAGCACUUACAAUAUGUGUGUGAAAUUAUGUAGAAAAAACAGGGAUUCAAGAAAUAGCAGUGGCGUGGAGCAGUGGUGUUGUCCUGAUAUGAAAAAAUAAUCCCAAAGCUUGAAAAUUUGAAUGAUGUGAGUUACAUAAGUGCAUUCCAUUUCUGCUGGUCUGAGUAUAAUAAAAGUAUGAAACUAAAUCCUAUUUAAACAUAAUUCUAUCUUUUGGAACUGAAAAUGGUGUUGUAGUUUAAAACAAAUAGUAUUUUGUAGCACAAUUUCACUGUCAUAUUAUCAAGUCCAUUUAAUAUUUUUGGACUCAUUGGCUUGAAUUUGUGAUUUUUAAACCUGAUUUCUCUGGGAGAUGUUUCUAGGUCACAGGAUAGGAUCUUUUGUGUCAUGAUUAUUCUUUUCAUAAAGAACAAAAUAUCCUUUCUUUUAUAUAGAAGUCUUUCAUUUUAGGAACGAGGAGAACUAAGAUGUACCUAUUAUAGCAAAAAUCUUUCUCAUGAGCUUACAAGAUCUUUGUAUUAUUGGCACCCAAUUUUAUCACAAGUCUCGGGUAAUGCUGUUUUUUUUCCUUCAGAUGUGGAUUUAAUGAACUUUUUAUAGCAAAGAAUGUUAACAUUAAAUACUCACCUGAUAAUUUUUUUUCUCCUCCUCAAAAGUAAGUGAACUGUGGACUGUUCUUAUAAUUUCAUUCUCAUUCCCUGGUGAACUUACAAAUGUCAAAAGAUGGCAAAUUAGAAAGUCCAGUGUUGAUGUCUUCCUGCUAUCAAAGUAUCCUGAGAAACAGGGAUUGUGCCAUGAAGCACAAUGCAGUUUUUCUGAGAAAAAGAGAUUUCAGGCUUGUGAUGCUCUCCCAGCUCCUUCAUGUGACAUCAAAAAAAAGAACUGCUGAGGGGAUGAAGUGGGGGCUGGAGAACUGAAGGUACUAUUACAUUAUGCAUUCCCGCUGCAGUUUUAAACUCCUUUAUUUACAUACUGAAAUACCACGGGAUACCUGGCCAUCUGCUGAGAUCCCCAGGUGGAUUUUGCAGGUCACUGAGCUCUGUGCUUGCAGACCUCAAGGUAUCUAAUUAAAACCCAUCCAGGUAUGUCCACACCAGCUGUAGUUAUACCACCUGAUGGGGAAUUCCAGUUAAGCAAUACCUGAAUGUCAUAAACGGCACUAAAGCUUCUGAUACUGCAGUCCAAGCAUGUUGUAGAUAACACCUGAAAUGAGUAAUAAGACCUGAUAAUGCAGGGAGAAGUAAUAUAUGUUAAAUAGGCUUUCGUCCCUCCAGGUUUAAGUUUCACCAGUGUAUUUUCAGAGCACAGCCUCAAACUGCCCAAGUGGUAAUUCUGCACCUUGGAAUACUGGAGGAAAAGGUGGAGGGGUAAGUGCCCUGCUAGAGAGGAGGAAUAUGUUAAAACUUGGUGCCCUCAGUGCUGUUUACCCAUGCACUCAAACCUCCACUUUAUUUUUAACUCUGUAGGGGUAUGCAUUUUUCAGGUCUGUGAAAGAAUGUGCUGUGCUAGAGUUCCUUUUAAAAUUGAGACAAAUUAGUUGUGCCAUUGCACAACAAUACAUUGGUAUUAUUUCUCUAUGUAUUUCUUGAUGUAAGCCUAAUAAGUGUUCAAAUACUAUUUCCCUGAAGUACAGUUAUUUUUAAAUGAAAGUUUCAUAAAUACCACAACCUUACAGUCCUGAGUGAAAUUUCUUUAUAACACUCUUAAAAGUCAGAAUAAUAUGGUUAAUUCUUGUAUUUUAGAUAUGCAUUUCUAGUAACACAACAUAGAGAAACUCUGCAAACUCAGGUAACAGAAACCUACUUUAAAGACACCAUCAUUAUUUUCAUCAUAUUCAUUUAUCAAAUGGCUAAAAGAUCAAGAAUUCCUUUUUCAUGUAAAACUGUAUAGUAUGGUAAAAAAAGGAAAAGUGAUUGUUAGUAUUUUAGCACAUAUUUUGUUUAACCCCCAUUUUUUAGUGAAAUUGGAUGAUGUAUUUAAGUUACACCACACACAUUUAAAAAAAAAUAAAUCAAUGACUCAUUGCAGAUUUAUGCAAGUUUUAUUUUCAGCCUUCUAGGUGCAUCUUCUCUCUCUGUAAAAAAGGGAGAGUUUACUUCACUUUGACUUUCUUUAGAAAAGCUGCAAUAGCGAGUCAAGUUUGGGUACUAUCCAAAUUAUACAAAUGUGUUCAUUAUACAGAGGAAAGCUUCUGAGUGUUAAUUACCUCCUUUUGUGUCAGCCUGGGCCCUGUCAUGAAGAGCCUUGUGAGGAAGCAGGAAAGAAAAGGGGGAAUUUCAGAGAGGGAUUGUUUUAAAAUGGUCAUUGAAGGGUAAGUUUUGCUGCAUGUGGUCAAGUCAGUCAUAAAAAUUACUAGAUUAAGGGUUCUAGAAUUUAAUCCUGGGCAUGUGAUAGUGCAUUUGGAUGUUUAGAUUUUCUAUUUAUCGUAAAUCAAGUAUGUGUAUAUUCAUACUUGGGAAAACAGCUUAGUGUUUAGUUUUUAUGUUACACAGACACUGAUCUUUCUGCUUGUAACAUUAGGUCUUUGAAUGACCUGGUGUACUGGAGCACAAGGCUAAUUAAACAGACACUCGACUGCAAGAUCAACAUCUAUAAAAUUCAAACCAGUGUAGCUGGAAACUGUGUCUGAAAAGACAUUGGGAGGGACUGCCCAGGUGGAUGGUGGAGUCACUGGGAGCGACUGGAGCUGUUCAAGGAAAGACUGGAUGUGGCAUUUAGUGACGGGUUUAUAACGUGGUGACUGGUUUUAAGUUGGACUUGAUGGUCUUGGAGGUCUUUUCCAGCCGAAUCAAUUCUGUGAAACGCAGUCCCAGAGGGGUCAGAACCUUCCCUAUUUUGGGUGUUGGACCAUGCACAGAGCCUCUGCUGUGAGCUCAUCUUCCUCACGCGCGGUGCCCAAAACUACAGACAGGGCUGCUGAAGGCGAGACCGUUGCAGAGCAACCCCCUCCUUUGACCGGCCGUUCCCGGAGGCCGAAGACGCUUUUCCGCCGCCGGUUCUGCCCGCGCGGCGCCUGAGGGCUCCCGCUGCCCCG
Molecule: non-coding RNA, 9057 nt
Organism: Cyanistes caeruleus (blue tit)
Lineage: Eukaryota; Metazoa; Chordata; Aves; Passeriformes; Paridae
Source: RefSeq, a predicted model, not a curated record